CCUACGGGAGGCAGCAGUGGGGAAUAUUGGGCAAUGGAGGAAACUCUGACCCAGCAACGCCGCGUGAAUGAUGAAGGUCUUAGGAUUGUAAAGUUCUUUUCUAAGGGAAGAAGAAAGUGACGGUAGCUUAGGAAUAAGCCUCGGCUAACUACGUGCCAGCAGCCGAGGUAAUACGUGGGAGGCGAGCGUUAUCCGGAAUUACUGGGCGUAAAGGGUGCGUAGGUGGGUUGGCAAGUUAGUAGCGUAACUCAAGGGCUCCACCUUCGAACUACUGCUAAAACUGUCGGACUUGAGUGCAGGAGAGGUAACCGGAAUGCCUGGUGUAGCGGUGAAAUGCAUAGAUAUUAGGAGGAACACCAGUGGCGAAGGCAGGUUGCUAGACUGUAACUGACACUGAGGCACGAAAGCGUGGGUAUCGAACAGGAUUAGAUACCCUAGUAGUC
Molecule: ribosomal RNA, 443 nt
Filed under: uncultured bacterium
Lineage: Bacteria
Description: partial 16S ribosomal RNA
Rfam family: Bacterial small subunit ribosomal RNA
Source: RNAcentral